UCCCAUCCAUCUCCUCUGCUCCGAAAACCAAACAACAAGAAAGAGAGAGAGCUCUUUCUCUCACCACCUCUCCUUUCAAUUCCAGUACGGCGGCCGCUCACCGGAUCCCAAGAAGAAAAAACCUCUCCCGUUUCCAUAUUGUGUUCUGCGGUUUUUUUUGGGUUUUUAUUCGGAUUAAUGGGUUUUUUUCAAUUUGCGUGCUGUUUUUCGGAAGUUGUUCUUCAUUUGUGCAAUCUGUGAAGUAAGGUCAGCUUCUCAGUGUAGAUGCCCUUGAGAGAUUGACAGAAGAGAGUGAGCACACGGCGUGAUGUCUGGCAUAACAUGUAUGCAGUCUUCGCCGCGUGCUCACUCCUCUUUCUGUCAGCCUCUUUCUCUUGGGAGUUCACCUUACAUUCAGAUCCACAGGUGGGUUUUUAGAACCAAUUUGAUUCAAUUUCAAUUCAACUGUUCAUAUUUUUCCUCACAACAAAGAAGGUUAAGCCCUGCUUGUAAGAGAGAAACUCAGCCACAAAAGACAGAACACGCAUGCGGCAAGUACUCAGGCUUUUCUCCCACUUUUUACCAUGCUACUUCCUUAUCUCUUAGAUGUGUGCGCACUCUUUGUUUUUUUGCUCUGUUGUUUUGAUCUUUCCAAUCAAGUUGGCUUUGGGAGCUACUACCGAGGUGAGGAUACGGAUGCUAGUGGUAAUUGUAAGGAGCAGCAGCUGUAGGCUUGAAGUACUGGAAUAAAUGAUUGGAUUUGUUACUUGUUUUUCUCAUCCCCAAAAUGUUUUUCUUCUCCUUUUGCAGUGUACUCGCCUUGGGAGCUGGAUCAUGGAGAUGCUGCCGGUUUCGGCCAUGGUGGUGGGGUUUGAUCAAGUUCUUGUUGGGGUAAAAAAGGAGCAUGGAGUAAGCUAAGAGAUGACCCAUAUUUGGCAAGGAAGGUGGCCUCACUUUGCUUUUGCCAGAUCUAGUUUGCAUCUUAGGGAUCCGCUUCCAUUGUGGUGAUGAGGGCUGCUUGGUUAUACUUUGGUUUGUGCCUGGUUUUUGGUCUUAACCGUUACUCACGGCUGACCCUUUUUGCUAUUAUUCUUUUUUUUCCAGGAUAAGGGCAUCAUGAUUUAAUAGCCAACAGAGCUACACAAUAAAUUCGCAGAAGGAACUACUCCUCCCAUGCUUCCUUCUGAGUGUAAGAUGAAGAUAAAAUGAUGGAAGGAUUGCUCGGUAUGCAGUACGUAUCAAGAUGAUGGAAUGAUGUAACAAAAGCAACACGAAGAUCAAGCCCAGCUGGACAAACAUAAUGAUUAGUCUAUGUAUUAAACGAUACUGAAUCCAGACGGAAACACACAAGAUCAAGUAGACAAACAGUAUGGUUGUACGAAUGAGACUUCAAGGAGUGCACUCCUCCAUGCAUUGCUGCCAAGCAGUUGGAUUUCAUUUGCCCCCACUGGGUCAGACAAGAACAACAAUCAGAUGUGGAGGGAUCGACCAGGGAAAAUAUUUGGCAUCAUAUCUCACUGAAAUAUGUUGCCCUCUAUCCUGUACCGCUACACAGUUGGGAGUUCGCCCCACACACACAAGAACAGGCUACUAAAAUACAACUGAAUGAAUUGAACUGCCAUGCUGGAGACGGCGAACAGCACUGUUACUUUGUCCAGAAACAUGUCAAAGUUUUGACAUGAACAUGGGCACUAUUGAGUUUUGAGGCGGCGCACUCCUACUAGGAAGCACCUGCAACAGCAAAUUGAUGGUAGAAUUAGGACCACUGCCUGUGUUUCUUUUUUGGUGGAAGUCAGAAGUGCAAAUCAGAAUGAAACAGAAAGGCUGGCCAUAGAUGUGUGAUAUCUCAACAGAAAUAUACAAUUUAUGUUGUCAGUAUCAAUUAAAUGAUCAUGUGUUUCUUUGCCCCACUUAUCUGAAACUUUGAGAUAUUCGAACUGCAAAGAUCUCUCAUAUGACGACUCUGUAUGUUCAGAUGGUUUAUAUAUAGUUCCGUGGAUUGUAAUUGUACCUUGGUGUCAGAAGGCUUCCGAAUGAACCCCUUAUCUUGAAGGGAUCUCACUGCUUCAUGGAGGUAUUCAUGUACAGGUGUGAACUUCAUGCCAAGGUCCUUGAGAGGCUGGUUUGUGAACUUGUAACCCUUCUUUGGUGGAUUCACCUCAUCUUUGCAUCUGUACAAUUCAGUUAGUGAAGGAUUAGAUUGGUCACUAUCGAAAGAUGCCGCCUAAUUAUGUCACUGCUUUGCGUUGAGAGGUUUCAAAAGCUGGGGACGCACUUAUGUCAUGUGCUGAAAAGUUGAAAGCAAAGUUGGUGGUUGAUGAUUAACUCUCAUCAGAGCAAUUUGCUUUGUCUUCAAGGCAAAUGGAAGCGAGGCUAUUGCUUUCAACUUUCAGACAGCGGGAAACCACUUCUGUUCUAUCAACCGGACAGAUGCAAUAGCAUUUGUGGAAAGAAUUAUUCUUAAUUUAGU
Molecule: long non-coding RNA, 2449 nt
Organism: Lolium rigidum
Lineage: Eukaryota; Viridiplantae; Streptophyta; Magnoliopsida; Poales; Poaceae
Exons: 5
Source: RefSeq, a predicted model, not a curated record